Molecule: long non-coding RNA, 424 nt
Organism: Falco peregrinus (peregrine falcon)
Lineage: Eukaryota; Metazoa; Chordata; Aves; Falconiformes; Falconidae
Exons: 3
Source: RefSeq, a predicted model, not a curated record
UGGUGGCAUGCUCCUCCUGUGGUUCAAAUGUUAACCUAGGACUCAGAAGAGAAGGGUUCAAUAUCCUUUUGUGCUACAGACUUCUUGAGCAAGCAAUUUGAUGUUUCAUUUCCCCAUCUCUGAAAACAGUACCUGUUCAUGUAUAUUCUUGGGAUUUUAUUCAGGGGGAGAAAACACUCAAUAGCUUUAUUGAAAGUUUCCAAAGAAGUCAAUAUUAUUGUUUUCAAAUUCAAUAAGCCACAUUUUCUUUGUGCGCCUAUUUCUGAAAAUAGAUGGAAAGUCUGAUACUCGUCCACAACAGUUUUGAUUUCACUAUUUAUUAAAAGCUCUUCUGCUGUAAAGGGUGUUCAGCAGACACCAGCCUCCCUUACUGAGGUCUGCUCACCUCUGCCCCAAAGUUCAUGUCUUAUAUUCUAUGUGUGAG